AUGAACGCUGGCGGCGUGGAUAAGGCAUGCAAGUCAAACGGACACUUUCGCAAGAUUGUGUUAGUGGCAGACGAGGUAGUAAUACGUAGGAACCUUCCCCCGAGUCAGGAAUAAUCCGUCGAAAGAUGGACUAAUACCUGAUAGUCUCUUAGGAGUAAAGUCGCAAGACGCUUGGGAUUGGGCCUGCGGGCUAUCAGCUAGUUGGUGGUGUAAUGGACCACCAAGGCUAUGACGGCUAGGGGAGCUGAGAGGCUGACCCCCACCGAUGGGACUGAGACACGGCCCAUACACCUACGGGUGGCUGCAGUCAAGAACCUUCCGCAAUGGACGAAAGUCUGACGGAGCGACGCCGCGUGAAGGAUGAAGUCCCUCUGGGACGUAAACUUCUUUUAUGAGGGAGAAAAUUUUGAUAGUACCUCAAGAAUAAGGGGUUGCUAAACUCGU
RNAcentral lists this ribosomal RNA (444 nucleotides) under uncultured bacterium. Its description in RNAcentral is "bacterial SSU rRNA". It matches the Rfam family "Bacterial small subunit ribosomal RNA", at positions 29 to 506 of the family's 1533-position model. The record is from RNAcentral.